GUGGGGAAUUUUGGACAAUGGGCGCAAGCCUGAUCCAGCAAUGCCGCGUGCAGGAAGAAGGCCUUCGGGUUGUAAACUGCUUUUGUACGGAACGAAACGGUCCGGGUUAAUACCCUGGGCUAAUGACGGUACCGUAAGAAUAAGCACCGGCUAACUACGUGCCAGCAGCCGCGGUAAUACGUAGGGUGCAAGCGUUAAUCGGAAUUACUGGGCGUAAAGCGUGCGCAGGCGGUUUUGUAAGACAGGCGUGAAAUCCCCGGACUCAACCUGGGAAUUGCGCUUGUGACUGCAAGGCUGGAGUGCGGCAGAGGGGGAUGGAAUUCCGCGUGUAGCAGUGAAAUGCGUAGAUAUGCGGAGGAACACCGAUGGCGAAGGCAAUCCCCUGGGCCUGCACUGACGCUCAUGCACGAAAGCGUGGGGAGCAAACAGGAUUAGAAACCCUUGUAGUCC
RNAcentral lists this ribosomal RNA (450 nucleotides) under uncultured bacterium. RNAcentral's name for it is "bacterial SSU rRNA". It matches the Rfam family "Bacterial small subunit ribosomal RNA", at positions 354 to 796 of the family's 1533-position model. The record is from RNAcentral.